Molecule: long non-coding RNA, 2845 nt
Filed under: Homo sapiens (human)
Lineage: Eukaryota; Metazoa; Chordata; Mammalia; Primates; Hominidae
Description: long non-coding RNA NONHSAT163709.1
Source: RNAcentral
AUUCAACGCCUUUAGAACAAUGGCAGUCACAUAGUAGGUACUCAAUGUUUGGAGUACGAAUAAUGUACUCUUAUUAUUCAAAGACCAGCUAGAAAGUUACCUUCUUUGAGGGGUCUUCCUGAUAGUUACAGUGACAAGGAGACUUAAUCGCCCCCAAACACUUACCACUUUACACUGCUUGGUUGUCUCCAUUACACAACUAAUUCCCCGAGGGGAAGGAUCUUGAAUAACUGAUCUUUGUUGUAGGCGGCUAGCACAGUACCCAGAUCAUAGAGGGAACUCAGAAUCUGAUGCUGGCACUUGUAAUCAGAAAGUCUGGGCUGAGAUCCCAGUAUCUUCACUGACUGGCUUUGUGAUCUCAGGCUGGUCACUUAGCAUUUCGAACGCCGCGCUACCUACCCCGCCCACCCCAGGAGCGAACAGUGUUGCUGCCCCAAAGCGCCGAAUAGAUCGCAGAACGUAGUGGGAAAGUAAGGGACUAUUAUGAUCUGUACCCCACCCCGACGCACGCCAAGCGGCUUUUUCCCCAUUUGUGGCCAAAUUUCCCGGCAUGGGGAAGGAGCCUUAGGGGAAGCACCCGGGACCUCCUUGGCUUCUUCUGGGAGUCUAGUUUCACCUAUUUCGUUUCGCCAACAGGCGAGACGGGCAAGACUUCGGGCUCAGCUGCCACCAUCAGUACUGACCUGUCCAUGGCUAAAGCCUUUUCCACACACAACCAAAGUUGGCUGCAGUUUAGCUACCGCGUUUUAGCCUUCCCGCUCUCCGGAAGCAAGCCCUUCGACCCGGAAGCAGUCUGUCCCUAAAACAGACCCACAGAAAAGGCAGGCGCAAAAGUUUGCCAAUGUGUUCCUGGUUGCGUUUAGCCCAGACGCCCUGCGGCCGCUUUGCCUGACCAAAGUCUGUGGGCGUGGAACAGGCCCUGGGUUCUCCUACUGGGAAGAAUGAGGUUCAGGUACUCCAUGUGAUAUAUGGUUCCACAAUCCUCAGCGUGUUAACUGAAGCCUUGUUGAGUUUAACAAAGCUGCCAUUGAAGAUCUGGGGAAAGUGAAGAAGUUGCAACAGAGUUUUGGGCUCACACCAUUGAUACAUUUGAUCCUUAAGGCAAGUGACAAUUUGGGUUUCACAGGUAUAUAGAAAUUGCCAGCUUUUCUUGCCAUAUAUUUCUUGUGACAGUGCUGAGCUUUUUUUUUUUACUUCUUGCUUGCUUUUUUUUGGACUUGAUUUUUUAAAUUAUGUUUCCUUCCUUCCUUCUUUCUUUGUUUUUUUUUUUUUUGAGACAGGAUCUUGUCCUAUUGUCCCGGCUUACGUGCAGUGGCACAGUCACGGCUCACUGCAGCCUUGACCUCCUGGGCUCCAGCAAUCCUCCUACCUCAGCCUCCCUAGUACCUGAGGUUGGCCCACCCCGCCUCACUCCCACCCUCUUCUACUUAAUUCAGGAUGUGAAUAGCACAUGCCUUCCAUCUUCAGACAAACACUGAGGCCUGGACAAUGACCUGCAUUAGGUAGAUAGAAUCUACUGAAAGCUAAAAGCCUUUUCCUGUGUCUUAGCAGCACGGAAGCCACGCCUCCUUCCCCCCAAUGUUUGUGCAAACCCUAGAGAAGAGGAGACAGCCCCUAUGAUGUGUGAGGUUGAAUUUCCUGCCCUCAACCCAUCAAAUCAGGCAGAAUGAGGGCUCAGUCAGAACUACAACUACAAAAGAGAAAAAUUUUAAUGUGACUUUUCUUGUCUGCUCAGAUUUUUGGGUUAAGGUUCAUGCCAGCUACAUUCUUUGCAUAAUAAAAUAUAAAUAGAGUAUAAAUUGUUCUAGUUAGAGAAAACAGCAAAACAGUGCUCUCCCAAGGGCCCUAAUAAAUCACUUUACAGAAACGUGGAUGUGUGUUGGAUUUACAGGAUUUCUAUGCCAAGCAGAGAAGUACGUGAAAACAGGAAAGCAAAAUGCAUAAGUUGCAAUAAUAGUUUUGUGGUUUAGCUGAAUAAUGUCCUAUAUCAACAGAGGAUAAUGAUUUUAGUUUUUCAGUUGCCCCAAGAUCAUUUCCAUUACUGAUGAGGCUUGAAAUGUCUGUGAAGAAGAGUCAUUGCAAUUGAUUUAUUUGUCUGGCAAACUUUUUGUCAGCAAAUUCACCACUACCUCAAAAAUCUCACUAGCUACUCUAUGCUUAAGACAUUGGAAGCAUAAGCCACAAUGAAAACUAACUCUUAGCAUUAGAAUUCUAAGAAGCAGUAAUGUAUUUAUGAUUUUAUGUUAAAAAUCUCCCAGAUGUCAGCAUUUAAAUCACAAUUCAGUAAUAUAAGUAAUUUGAAAUUAGAAAGUUUUAUACUUCACCAUUCUAUUUUCCUCUUCAAAUUGAACACAGUUUGAAAGAAUUAAGAAAAGAAGCUAUAAAAAAUAAAUUGUUCAAGGAUUCUUCCUGUUUCUAAACACCACAAGAUUAUGAUGAUAGAGACAUCAUUUGAAGUGGUAGAGAGUACUGUGAAAUAUCUAUAUGUGAAUGUAAUGAAAAUGAAAAAAUAAUCUGAUGAAUUUUUAAAAUUAAUCUUGUUAGAGUCAUUUUUGAGAAAUUGUAUGCAAGUGUAUUGAUUGAAAAUGACCUUCUCAUUCAAGAAAAAUUUAUUGAGCACUUACCAAGUGUCAACAGGUGAAUGUGAAUAAAAUAGAUAUGGUCCCUGCCUUCUUGGAGUUGAAUAAAAUAGCAAACACUUAUUGAAUAUUUAUUAUAUGUUGUGCAUUAUAAUAUUAACCAAUGUUUAUUGAGUUGUUAUUAUAUGCCAACUAUGCCAAUCCUGUCCUAAGCAAUUUAUGUAUGUUAACUAAUUUAAUCCUCACAAUAAAUCUAUGAGGUAGGU